This 253-nucleotide ribosomal RNA is filed under the name uncultured bacterium. RNAcentral's name for it is "partial 16S ribosomal RNA". It matches the Rfam family "Bacterial small subunit ribosomal RNA", at positions 524 to 776 of the family's 1533-position model. The record is from RNAcentral.
UACGUAGGGUGCAGGCGUUAAUCGGAAUUACUGGGCGUAAAGCGUGCGCAGGCGGUUUGCUAAGACAGGUGUGAAAUCCCCGGGCUUAACCUGGGAACUGCGCUUGUAACUGGCAAGCUGGAGUGUGGCAGAGGGGGGUGGAAUUCCACGUGUAGCAGUGAAAUGCGUAGAGAUGUGGAGGAACGCCGAUGGCGAAGGCAGCCCCCUGGGCUAACACUGACGCUCAUACACGAAAGCGUGGGGAGCAAACAGG